GGUCGUUUCAACUCCUUUUUUUCCGUCAAUCUCAGAGAGACUAAAGAGCAGUAGUGUCAUGGAGGAUCCAACUGUAUACUUGGGUUCAGACACCAACCACUCCCAAAUCUCUUUUAACACCAAUGAAGGAAAGUUGGAAGGUUCAAACGGUGAGGCUUGUCAAGAAUUUGGCCUUAGAAGAAGACACCGUUGCUUCGUGGUAACCGCAAGGGCACGAUCUUUUCUUUACCAUCAGGUUAGGCUGCUUGUUGGAGUCCUUAAGUCAGUUGGGGCUGGUGAUCUGACAGAUCCAGAUGUAAAACGCAUCCUUGAAGCAAAAUCCAUUGCUGCAGCACCCCCGAUGGCUCCUGCUUGUGGUCUUUAUCUUGGACAUGUCAAAUAUGAUUUGCCUCCCGAGAAUAAUCAAA
RNAcentral lists this unclassified non-coding RNA (407 nucleotides) under Hevea brasiliensis (rubber tree). Lineage: Eukaryota; Viridiplantae; Streptophyta; Magnoliopsida; Malpighiales; Euphorbiaceae. The record is from RNAcentral.